UCCGUGUCGUAGCUAACGCAUUAAGUUCCCCGCCUGGGGAGUACGGCCGCAAGGCUAAAACUCAAAGGAAUUGACGGGGGCCCGCACAAGCGGCGGAGCAUGCGGAUUAAUUCGAUGCAACGCGAAGAACCUUACCAAGGCUUGACAUAUACCGGAAACGGCCAGAGAUGGUCGCCCCGCAAGGUCGGUAUACAGGUGGUGCAUGGUUGUCGUCAGCUCGUGUCGUGAGAUGUUGGGUUAAGUCCCGCAACGAGCGCAACCCUCGUCCUAUGUUGCCAGCACGUAAUGGUGGGAACUCAUGGGAUACUGCCGGGGUCAACUCGGAGGAAGGUGGGGAUGAGGUCAAAUCAUCAUGCCCCUUAUGUCUUGGGCUUCACGCAUGCUACAAUGGCCGGUACAAUGGGCUGCGAUACCGCAAGGUGGAGCGAAUCCCAAAAAGCCGGUCUCAGUUCGGAUUGGGGUCUGCAACUCGACCCCAUGAAGUCGGAGUCGCUAGUAAUCGUAGAUCAGCAACGCUACGGUGAAUACGUUCCCGGGCCUUGUACACACCGCCCGUCAAGUCC
This 563-nucleotide ribosomal RNA is filed under the name bacterium T213BY2. RNAcentral's name for it is "SSU rRNA". It matches the Rfam family "Bacterial small subunit ribosomal RNA", at positions 840 to 1404 of the family's 1533-position model. The record is from RNAcentral.